This 576-nucleotide ribosomal RNA is filed under the name Lucernaria quadricornis. RNAcentral describes it as "partial 16S ribosomal RNA". It matches the Rfam family "Bacterial large subunit ribosomal RNA", at positions 1841 to 2566 of the family's 2925-position model. Lineage: Eukaryota; Metazoa; Cnidaria; Staurozoa; Stauromedusae; Lucernariidae. The record is from RNAcentral.
AUUUAUUGGAGGUGACGCCUGCCCGAUGAUCCCUCUUAACCUAAGUAAUUUUAGGGAAUAAGGAUUCAAUGGCCGCGGUAUUUCUGACCGUGAUAAUGUAGCGAAAUCAAUCGUCACUUAAUUGCUGACCAGUAUGAAAGGUACAACGAAUGUUCCCCUGUCUCCUAAAAAGAAGCUAUGAAAUUGUAGGAGCCGUGCAUAUACGGCUCACUCUCUGUAAGACGAAAAGACCCUAUUGAGCUUUACUAUACUCUCCCUAUCCUUAUAAAAUAACUUAGAAACCCUAACUUUAUUUUUAUUCUAGGGAGAGAGGUAGUUUCGUUGGGGCGACGACCUUCCAAACAGUAACGAAGGUUAACCAAGGUUUUUAUUAGAUAAUAGCCUGACUGUCAGGGCAAUCUCCCGCACAGACACUUCCGUGGGUCUAAGUGAUCCACUCCACUUUAAAAAGAGGGGUGCCAAAACAUAAAAGUUACCAUAGGGAUAACAGCGUAAUUUUACUGAAGAGCUCUUAUCGAUAGUAAAGAUUGCGACCUCGAUGUUGAAUUGUGGUAUCCUGAGGGUGCAGCCGCUCUC